AACUUUCGACAACGGAUCUCUUGGUUCUGGCAUCGAUGAAGAACACAGUGAAAUGCGAUAAGUAAUGUGAAUUGCAGAAUUCAGUGAAUCAUCAAUUCUUUGAACGCACAUUGCACCCUCUGGCAUUCCGGGGGGUAUGCCUGUUCGAGCGUCAUUACAACCCUCAAGCCUUGCUUGGUGUUGGGUGCGCCCUGUCACAGGGUGCACCUCAAAAUCAGUGGCGGUGCGGCCUGGCUUCAAUCGUAGUAACUCUUCUCGCUCCGGAGCCCAGGUGGCAUACCUGCCAACAAUCUCCAACACAUCAAAGGUUGACCUUGGAUCCGGUAGGGAUACCCGCUGAACUUAAGCAUAUCAAUAAGCGGAGGCU
This 367-nucleotide unclassified non-coding RNA is filed under the name uncultured Microglossum. RNAcentral describes it as "sequence contains ITS2". The stretch from base 1 to 154 matches the Rfam family "5.8S ribosomal RNA". The record is from RNAcentral. Lineage: Eukaryota; Fungi; Ascomycota; Leotiomycetes; Myxotrichaceae.